GAUGAACGCUAGCGAUAGGCUUAACACAUGCAAGUCGAGGGGCAGCAUAAGAUCAGCUUGCUGAUUUUGAUGGCGACCGGCGGAUGGGUGAGUAACGCGUAUGUAAUCUACCUUCAAAAGGAGGAUAGCCCGGAGAAAUUCGGAUUAAUACUCCAUAAUAUAGAAGUACCGCAUGGUAUUUCUCCUAAAGAUUUAUCGUUUGAAGAUGAGCAUGCGUUCCAUUAGCUUGUUGGUAAGGUCACGGCUUACCAAGGCAACGAUGGAUAGGGGAACUGAGAGGUUUACUCCCCCANACUGGGACUGAGACACGGCCCAGACUCCUACGGGAGCAGCAGUGAGGAAUAUUGGUCAAUGGGCAGAGCCUGAACCAGCCAAGUCGCGUGAAGGAUGACUGCCCUAUGGGUUGUAAACUUCUUUUAUAUGGGAAUAAAGUGUCCUACGUGUAGGAUUUUGCAUGUACCAUAUGAAUAAGCAUCGGCUAACUU
RNAcentral lists this ribosomal RNA (485 nucleotides) under uncultured Bacteroidota bacterium. Its description in RNAcentral is "bacterial SSU rRNA". It matches the Rfam family "Bacterial small subunit ribosomal RNA", at positions 28 to 503 of the family's 1533-position model. Lineage: Bacteria; Pseudomonadati; Bacteroidota. The record is from RNAcentral.